This is a small nuclear RNA of Anthonomus grandis grandis, 138 nucleotides long. RefSeq annotates it as U4 spliceosomal RNA. The record is from RefSeq and is a predicted model, not a curated record. Lineage: Eukaryota; Metazoa; Arthropoda; Insecta; Coleoptera; Curculionidae. The transcript has a single exon.
UACUUUGCGCAGUGGCAUUAUCGUAACCAAUGAGGUUUAUCCGAGGUGCGAUUAUUGCGAGUUGAAAACUAUGAAAAAAACUAUAAACCUUGCUUUCUUUCGCAAUUAAAAUUAAUUUAAAAUUUUAGUUUUUAAAAU